UACGAGUGCCCCAAGCGUUAUCCGGAAUCAUUGGGCGUAAAGGGUGUGUAGGUGGUUGUAUUAGUCUUCUGUUAAAUUCUUCGGCUCAACCGGGGACAUGCGGAGGAAACGGUACGACUAGAGGAUGCGAGGGGAAUAUGGAACUCAUAGUGGAGGGGUGAAAUCCGUUGAUAUUAUGGGGAACACCGAAAGCGAAGGCAGUAUUCUGGCGCAUUCCUGACACUGAAACACGAAAGCGUGGGUAGCGAAUGGG
Molecule: ribosomal RNA, 253 nt
Filed under: uncultured bacterium
Lineage: Bacteria
Description: partial 16S ribosomal RNA
Rfam family: Bacterial small subunit ribosomal RNA
Source: RNAcentral